Molecule: long non-coding RNA, 2545 nt
Organism: Phyllopteryx taeniolatus (common seadragon)
Lineage: Eukaryota; Metazoa; Chordata; Actinopteri; Syngnathiformes; Syngnathidae
Exons: 2
Source: RefSeq, a predicted model, not a curated record
GUUCAGGGUGUACCCCGCCUCCUGCCCGAUGACAGCUGGGAUAGGCUCCAGCACGCCCGCGACCCUAGUGAGGAGAAGCGGCUCAGAAAAUGGAUGGAAAUAAAUAAGGUAUAAGUAUUGUCUGUAUACAUAGGUUUGCACUCGAUAUUCUGGAAGAUAAAUUAACACGUGUGCAGGCGGAUGUGAUCAUGCCAGGGUUGCGUCGUGGCUUUCUACUUCCGGGUUGGUGGAGCAAACCAGCCGCGCCUCAGCGUGCCCGGGGGAAGCACCCUGAAAAUAAUGAUGUGGUUCUGUUGGCUUCAUCAAGCCGUGACCUCCAACUCUCACUGGAGCAGUUCGCAGCCGAGUGUGAAGCGGCUGGGAUGAGAAUCAGCACCUCCAAAUCUGAGACCAUGGUCCUCAGUCGGAAAAGGGUGGCGUGCCCUCUUCAGGUCGGGGAUGAGAUCCUGCCCCAAGUGGAGGAGUUCAAGUAUCUUGGGGUCUUGUUCACGAGUGAGGGAAGAAUGGAACGGGAGAUCGACAGGCGGAUCGGUGCAGCGUCUGCAGCGAUGCGGACUUUGUAUCUAUCUAUUGUGGUGAAGAAGGAGCUAAGCCGAAAGGCGAAGCUCUCGAUUUACCGGUCGAUCUACGUUCCUACCCUCACCUAUGGGCACGAGCUGUGGGUAGUGACCGAAAGAACAAGAUCCAGGAUACAAUCGGCCGAAAUGAGUUUCCUCCUGCAGGGUGUCCGGGCUCUCCCUUAGAGAUAGGGUGAGAAGCUCGGUCAUUCGAGAGGAUCUCAGAGUAGAGCCGCUGCUCCUUCACAUCGAGAGAAGCCAGAUGAGGUGGCUGGGGCAUCUGAUUCGGAUGCCUCCCGGACGCCUCCCUGGUGAGGUGUUCCGGGCACGUCCCACGGGGACGACCCAGGACACGCUGGAGAGACUACAUCCUUCGGCUGGCCUGGGAACGCCUCGGGAUCCCCCCGGAAGAGCUGGAUGAAGUGGCUGGGGAGAGGGAAGUCUGGGCGUCCCUGCUAAAGCUACUGCCCCCGCGACCCGACCUCGAAUAAGCGGUGGAAGAUGGAUGGAUGGAUGGAUUACAACUGUGCGAUGCAAAGAAUAGACCGAUCUACACGUGGACGACCCCCACAAACGGUAUAGAGAAAUUAUCUGACAUUUUAUUAAAGAUCUGACCUUAAGGGACAUUUGGAGGGAUCGCAGUCCACAACGGUCAAUGUUUUCAUGUUAUUCCAGUCCAUUCAAUUUAUACUCACGAAUUGAUUACUUUCUAAUUUUGGCGAGCUUGAUGAAUAAAGGAUUGUAAUUAUGACAGUAUUUUGAUCUCGAACCAUGCCCCUAGCAAUUUGAUCUAUGUGGAUUCAGACCUACGGUGAGACCCCCAAAAUGGAAAUUACAGCCCUACUGGCUCCAGAAUCUGGAUCUGGUGAAACAAAUUGAUUUGUAUUUCAUGCUGAAUACUAAUGAAACCUCAGCAAGCACAAGGUGGGAAGCCUUCAAGGCCUUUAUUAGAGGACAAGUUAUUAAUUUUAUGAGUUCAAAAUCUAAAAAGGUUAGACAAAAAUUGACAUCAUUGGAAUAAAAAUUUUGGAGGAAGCCUAUUUUAAGAAACCAUGUUCAACUGUACAUCAAGAAAUUUUACUCCUACGCUUGCAGUAUAAUGAGGUUUCUGCCUCCAAAACAGCAGCUACCGUAAAGUCUCGUGUAUAAUGCGUAUCCCCCCCCCCCCCAAAAAAAAAGUCAAAACUCAAUACAUACAGUGUAUUAUACAUACAGUAGGUAUAGGGGAAAAUGGAAAAAACUUUCACAUUUUAUUCAUUGGCGGCACGGUGGACGACUGGUUAGAGCAUCAGCCUCACAGUUCUGAGGACCGGGGUUCAAUCCCCGGCCCUGUCUGUGUGGAGUUUGCAUGUUCUCCCCCUGCCUGCGUGGGAUUUCUCCGGGCACUCCGGUUUCCUCCCACAUCCCAAAAACAUGCAUGAAUUGGACUCUAAAUUGCCCGUAGGUGUGAAGGUGAGUGCGAAUGGUUGUUUGUUUAUAUGUGCCCUGCGAUUGGCUGGCAACCAGUUCAGGGUGUUCCCCGCCUCCUGUCCGUUGAUAGCUGGGAUAGGCUCCAGCACGCCCGCGACCCUAGUGAGGAGAAGAAAAUGAAUGGAUGGAUGGAUUUUAUUCAAGUAUGCCGCCAUCCAGAGAAUAUGAAAAAGCUGUACACUUUCAUUCCAAUCUGCCACCGCCACCUAGAGGUUAUGAGAAUGGUGUACACUUUCUUUCUAAUAUGCCAACGCCACCAAAAGGAUAAAGGUGUAGCCUACACUUUCAUUACAAUAUGACAGGGGUACGUAUGACUGCAUAUAUGUACAGUUGUGCUCAUAAGUUUACAAACCCUGGCAGAAUUUGUGAAGUAUUGUUUUUUUAAAUACGACUGAUGACUGAACAACAACCAUCAUUAAUGGCUUUAUGGUUAUGUUUUGUUUAAUGAUGAUGGUUUUCUGAAAUGCUUGACAGUAUAAUUUGAAUCCCAUGAAAAUAAAAUUAUGUGUUUCACCUUG